GGGUAGCUGGUCUGAGAGGAUGAUCAGGCCACACUGGGACUGCGACACGGCCCAGACUCCUACGGGAGGCAGCAGUGGGGAAUAUUGGGCAAUGGGCGAAAGCCUGACCCAGCCACGCCGCGUGAGUGAUGAAGGCCUUCGGGUCGUAAAGCUCUGUGGGGAGGGACGAACAAGUGCGUACCUAACACGUACGUGCCCUGACGGUACCUCCUUAGCAAGCACCGGCUAACCAUGUGCCAGCAGCCGCGGUAA
This 252-nucleotide ribosomal RNA is filed under the name uncultured delta proteobacterium. RNAcentral's name for it is "partial 16S ribosomal RNA". It matches the Rfam family "Bacterial small subunit ribosomal RNA", at positions 281 to 523 of the family's 1533-position model. The record is from RNAcentral. Lineage: Bacteria; Deltaproteobacteria.